This 465-nucleotide ribosomal RNA is filed under the name uncultured bacterium. RNAcentral describes it as "partial 16S ribosomal RNA". It matches the Rfam family "Bacterial small subunit ribosomal RNA", at positions 29 to 507 of the family's 1533-position model. The record is from RNAcentral.
AUGAACGCUGGCGGCGUGCUUAACACAUGUAAGUCGAACGGAAAGGCCCAAGCUUGCUUGGGUACUCGAGUGGCGAACGGGUGAGUAACACGUGGGUGAUCUGUCCUGCACUUCGGGAUAAGCCUGGGAAACUGGGUCUAAUACCGGAUAGGACCACAUUUUGGAUGGUGUGGUGGAAAGUUUUUCGGUGUGGGAUGAGCUCGCGGCCUAUCAGCUUGUUGGUGGGGUAAUGGCCUACCAAGGCGUCGACGGGUAGCCGGCCUGAGAGGGUGUACGGCCACAUUGGGACUGAGAUACGGCCCAGACUCCUACGGGAGGCAGCAGUGGGGAAUAUUGCACAAUGGGCGCAAGCCUGAUGCAGCGACGCCGCGUGGGGGAUGACGGCCUUCGGGUUGUAAACUCCUUUCGCUAGGGACGAAGCGUUAUGUGACGGUACCUGGAGAAGAAGCACCGGCUAACUACGUG